GCAGGAUAUGUUUCAAUGGGAGCCAGACUGUACAACAAUCACGUCCUAACAUCCACCAGUGUCCACAAUUAAACGCUGCUGACAGGUGUCUUUAUUCUGUCUACCUAAAGCUGGGCAUACACUGUACCAUUUUAGAAAUGUUGUUGUGUACUUCCUACUCCUACUGUACGAGUAGAUCGUUUGCGAUGUAAAGCCAAAGCUCACAAUUUAUGUUCUCACGCUGUACGGUCCGAUCCUCAGCCACAACCUGAGUGCUCACACUGUACGUGUAAAAUAGAAAAGAAACACGGUCGGUCGGUCGGCUCCUGUGGGCCGUUCUUGCUUUUGACAGUUGUCAAUAAAGAUUUGUUUGAAAGCUCUGAAGCAGGUUAAGUUUGUUUCCUAGCAGAGGUCUGUACGGGUCACAGUGCUAACAAGGCAGAAACGUGCUGCCUUGAUCAUCUGUGCCAUCCUGUCUGCUGAAGCUGAAA
Long non-coding RNA from Sebastes umbrosus (honeycomb rockfish), 470 nucleotides. RefSeq lists it as uncharacterized. NCBI's taxonomy places the organism in Eukaryota, Metazoa, Chordata, Actinopteri, Perciformes, Sebastidae. The record is from RefSeq and is a predicted model, not a curated record. The transcript is spliced from 3 exons.